RNAcentral lists this transfer RNA (36 nucleotides) under Hallianthus planus. RNAcentral's name for it is "partial tRNA-Phe". The record is from RNAcentral. Lineage: Eukaryota; Viridiplantae; Streptophyta; Magnoliopsida; Caryophyllales; Aizoaceae.
UCGGGAUAGCUCAGCCGGUAGAGCAAAGGACUGAAA